This 1226-nucleotide ribosomal RNA is filed under the name human gut metagenome. RNAcentral's name for it is "bacterial LSU rRNA". It matches the Rfam family "Bacterial large subunit ribosomal RNA", at positions 1261 to 2495 of the family's 2925-position model. The record is from RNAcentral.
CCGGAAGGAGCAGUGGAGGGAUAAGAAGAGAGAAUGCCGGAAUGAGUAGCGAGAGGAAGGUGAGAAUCCUUCCGGCCGAAUAUCCAAGGUUUCCAGAGUAAAGCUGAUCUGCUCUGGGUAAGUCGGGACCUAAGGCGAGGCCGAAAGGCGUAGUCGAUGGACAACAGGUAGAGAUUCCUGUACCCGUAUAUAUGUGAAGGAAUGACGGAGAGAGGAAGCUGCAGCCAGCGGCUGGAAGAGCUGGUGCAAGCGAGAUAUCGGGAUGGCAGGCAAAUCCACCAUCCGAAACGAGAAGGCGUGAAGCGUACGGAAAGCUACGGCGAGUACGGAAGGCAGUGGAGGAACUUCCAAGAAAAGUUUCUAACGUUAAGUAUAUAUGGCCCGUACCGAAAAUGGACACACAUGGGUGAGGAGAGAAUCCUAAGGUGAGCGAGAGAACUAUAGCUAAGGAACUCUGCAAAAUGACUCCGUAACUUAGGGAGAAGGAGUGCUCAUAGAGAUAUGAGCCGCAGUGAAACGGCCCAAGCGACUGUUUACCAAAAACACAGCUCUCUGCUAAGCCGCAAGGCGAAGUAUAGGGGGUGACGCCUGCCCGGUGCUGGAAGGUUAAGGGGAGGGGUUAACGCAAGUGAAGCCCUGAACUGAAGCCCCAGUAAACGGCGGCCGUAACUAUAACGGUCCUAAGGUAGCGAAAUUCCUUGUCAGGUAAGUUCUGACCCGCACGAAAGGCGUAACGAUUUGGGCGCUGUCUCAGCUGUAGACUCGGUGAAGUCUUAGUACCUGUGAAGAUGCAGGUUACCCGCGACUAGACGGAAAGACCCCAUGGAGCUUCACUGCAGGUUGAUAUUGGGAUUUGAUGCAGCAUGUACAGGAUAGGUAGGAGGCAAAGAGAUGGAUACGCCAGUAUUCAAGGAGCCGCUGUUGGGAUACUACCCCUGUUGUAUUGGAUUUCUAACCGGACGACGUAGAGCCGUUGACGGGACAGUGUCAGUCGGGCAGUUUGACUGGGGCGGUCGCCUCCCAAAGAGUAACGGAGGCGCCCAAAGAUACCCUCAGCUUGGAUGGAAACCAAGCGCAGAGUGCAAAGGCAAAAGGGUGUUUGACUGCGAGACCCACAAGUCGAGCAGGGACGAAAGUCGGGCUUAGUGAUCCGGCGGUGCUGAAUGGAAAGGCCGUCGCUCAACGGAUAAAAGCUACCCUGGGGAUAACAGGCUGAUCUCCCCCAA